CUACGGGGUGCAGCAGUGGGGAAUAUUGCACAAUGGGCGCAAGCCUGAUGCAGCAACGCCGCGUGAGGGAUGAAGGCCUUCGGGUUGUAAACCUCUUUUAGCAGGGAAGAAGCGAAAGUGACGGUACCUGCAGAAAAAGCACCGGCUAACUACGUGCCAGCAGCCGCGGUAAUACGUAGGGUGCAAGCGUUGUCCGGAAUUAUUGGGCGGAAAGAGCUCGUAGGCGGUUUGUCACGUCUGCUGUGAAAAUCCAAGGCUCAACCUUGGACUUGCAGUGGGUACGGGCAGGCUAGAGUGCGGUAGGGGAGAUGGGAAUUCCUGGUGUAGCGGUGGUAUGCGCAGAUAUCAGGAGGAACACCAAUGGCGAAGGCACAUCUCUGGGCCGUAACUGACGCUGAGGAGCGAAAGCGUGGGGAGCGAACAGGAUUAGAUACCCGCGUAGUC
RNAcentral lists this ribosomal RNA (444 nucleotides) under uncultured bacterium. RNAcentral describes it as "partial 16S ribosomal RNA". It matches the Rfam family "Bacterial small subunit ribosomal RNA", at positions 339 to 795 of the family's 1533-position model. The record is from RNAcentral.